AUGGGGGCUGGGGAUUUAGCUCAGUGGCAUAAGCACCUGCCUUGCAAGCAGGUAGUUGUGAGUUCGGUCCCCAGUACCGAUAAAAAGGAAAAAGACAAAAAAAAAAAAAAAAAAAAAAAAAGUUUGUUCAACAUGGCUGGGGAUUUAGCUCAGCGGCAUGGCUGCCUGCCUUGCAAGCGGGCGGUCGUGAAUUCGAUCCCUGGUACUGAUAAAAAGGAAAAAGACAAAAAAAAAAAAAAAAAAGUUUGUUCAACACUCUGUAGAAUAUGCCAAACUGCUAAUGCUGGUGGUCUCUCUCCCACUAUCACAAAUUUUCAAACCAACAACUACUAAUACCUAUUUUUAGAAUGGAAAAAACUCACCUUUUUUUUUGGUCUUUUUUUUCGUUUUUAUCUGUACCAGGGAUCAAACUCACGACUGCCUGCUUGCAAGGCAGACGCUUAUGUGGCUGAGCUAAAUCC
RNAcentral lists this long non-coding RNA (461 nucleotides) under Cavia porcellus (domestic guinea pig). Its description in RNAcentral is "lncRNA (ENSCPOG00000030191.1)". The stretch from base 10 to 73 matches the Rfam family "tRNA". The record is from RNAcentral. Lineage: Eukaryota; Metazoa; Chordata; Mammalia; Rodentia; Caviidae.